RNAcentral lists this ribosomal RNA (275 nucleotides) under uncultured prokaryote. RNAcentral describes it as "partial 16S ribosomal RNA". It matches the Rfam family "Bacterial small subunit ribosomal RNA", at positions 524 to 798 of the family's 1533-position model. The record is from RNAcentral.
UACGGAGGAUCCGAGCGUUAUCCGGAUUUAUUGGGUUUAAAGGGUGCGCAGGCGGGAGAUUAAGUCGGCGGUGAAAUUUUGCAGCUCAACUGUAAAAGUGCCUUCGAAACCGGUUUCCUUGAGUGUAGAUGAAGUAGGCGGAAUUUGUGGUGUAGCGGUGAAAUGCUUAGAUAUCACGAGGAACUCCGAUUGCGCAGGCAGCUUACUAAACUACUACUGACGCUCAGGCACGAAGGCGUGGGGAUCAAACAGGAUUAGAUACCCUGGUAGUCCCU